Molecule: ribosomal RNA, 877 nt
Filed under: uncultured bacterium
Lineage: Bacteria
Description: bacterial SSU rRNA
Rfam family: Bacterial small subunit ribosomal RNA
Source: RNAcentral
AGAGUUUGAUCCUGGCUCAGAUUGAACGCUGGCGGCAGGCUUAACACAUGCAAGUCGAGCGGUAACAUUUCUAGCUUGCUAGAAGAUGACGAGCGGCGGACGGGUGAGUAAUACUUAGGAAUCUACCUAGUAGUGGGGGAUAGCACGGGGAAACUCGUAUUAAUACCGCAUACGACCUACGGGAGAAAGGGGGCAGUUUACUGCUCUCGCUAUUAGAUGAGCCUAAGUCGGAUUAGCUAGAUGGUGGGGUAAAGGCCUACCAUGGCGACGAUCUGUAGCUGGUCUGAGAGGAUGAUCAGCCACACCGGGACUGAGACACGGCCCGGACUCCUACGGGAGGCAGCAGUGGGGAAUAUUGGACAAUGGGGGAAACCCUGAUCCAGCCAUGCCGCGUGUGUGAAGAAGGCCUUUUGGUUGUAAAGCACUUUAAGCAGUGAAGAAGACUCCUCGGUUAAUACCCGUGGACGAUGACAUUAGCUGCAGAAUAAGCACCGGCUAACUCUGUGCCAGCAGCCGCGGUAAUACAGAGGGUGCAAGCGUUAAUCGGAAUUACUGGGCGUAAAGGGAGCGUAGGUGGCUCGAUAAGUCAGAUGUGAAAUCCCCGGGCUCAACCUGGGAACUGCAUCUGAUACUGUUGAGCUAGAGUAUGUGAGAGGAAGGUAGAAUUCCAGGUGUAGCGGUGAAAUGCGUAGAGAUCUGGAGGAAUACCGAUGGCGAAGGCAGCCUUCUGGCAUAAUACUGACACUGAGGCUCGAAAGCGUGGGUAGCAAACAGGAUUAGAUACCCUGGUAGUCCACGCCGUAAANCGAUGUCUACUAGUCGUUGGGUCCCUUGAGGACUUAGUGACGCAGCUAACGCAAUAAGUAGCCCGCCUGGA